RNAcentral lists this long non-coding RNA (1601 nucleotides) under Capsicum annuum. RNAcentral describes it as "long non-coding RNA (CANN_LNC009194)". The record is from RNAcentral. Lineage: Eukaryota; Viridiplantae; Streptophyta; Magnoliopsida; Solanales; Solanaceae.
UGCAUGUGUUUAUCUUAAGUGCAUGUGUUUAUCUUAAGUGCAUGUGUGUUUGUGUGUAAGUGUUCGUGUCGUGUGGGGGGAGAGUGGGGGAGGUUAAUUAGAAGUGGAAAUUGUGAGUGGUUUGGAUAGUUUAGGCUUCUUUAUUUUUUAUUUUUUUUUUAAUUUUUUUUAAUUAUAUUAUUAUUAUUAUUAUUAAUAAUAAAAUAAAAAUAAUUAAAAACUAAUAAAAUAUAACAUAAGCUAAUAACUAGUCUUGGGAAUAUGAUUUAGAAAAAUUAAUAUCACACCAUUCUUUAUUAAAAAUUGAAAGAAGAAACAAAUAUAACUUAAAUUUUUUUUUUUCUAAAAAAAGAAAUAAAUAAAUAAUAAAAUAAAAAUUUAUUUAAAAUGUGACUCUAUUUUUGUAAUUUUUAAAUUUUUUAACAAACUUCAAAAAGUAAGAUAAAUUUAAAAAAAAAAUUAAUUGAACAUUGAAAUGAUAUAAAAAUAUUAGGUUUGGAUCAAAAUUAGGUGUUUACACCCCUGGGUGGUAGAAUUGAUUUCCUUUUGAAUUUGGAUAUAUUUGAUCCCAUUUGACUGACCGAAUCGCUCAUUUAUGUCUAAUUAAAUGUCCUUAGCCGUGUCAAAAUACAUGACACUUUGUGUAUAAAUCAGUUGAGAGAGAAUUGGUAAUCCAAGCAAUGAUCAUAUCACUGCACCUCUCAUAAAAAAGAAAGUAACGUGAAUUUGGUACUGAUUUUGGAACAGUAUCAGUGACUAUCCCUAAUUUAUUUUUUGCUGAAAGAACAGUAAGCAUAUUCGUAAGUCAGACCACAAAAUCAGUACCAUCAAAAGGAAGGAAAACCAGGCGAGAACCUGAACUAUUCAAAGAGUGUAGGUAGAGGGGGUGAGUUGGAGACAAUGUAAACUCAUCAAAACCCUCAACAGAACUUAUAGUAUCAGUAGACAUUGAGGAAUCCCAAUCGAUAAUAGAAAUAACAUAGAAUGGAUACACUCAUAACUUACAAAACGAAAAUAAGGCUUCCUCCAACUAUUUGAGUAUCUCACAGUACGCAUACACAAUUUACACGGAUUACAAUCAACACAGAUCAGUAAAGAAAAGUCAAAAUUGAAUCAAAAUAGGGAUUACCACCCUUCUUUGUAACCUGAAGCAGUAAUGUCUUCAAACAAAUUUAUUUUCGUGAAGAAAUGAAAGAAAAUCUAUCAAAAACUCAAUUAACCCCAAAAUACGGACCGGCUAAAACCCUUCAAGGAUAACAUCGGAAGAUAGAGGGAGAUCCGAAGAAGAGAGGAUCGUGUAUCUCUACUCUGAUACCAUGUGGUAUCUCCCUUCUUAGAUCCCCGUCAAAAUAAUGUGUACGAACCCUAGAAGUUCAAAGGGUGAAGAAAUAGAGAACUUUCAUUGAAACGCAAUGAAAAUAUCUACUAUCUCCUUUCUAGAAGGGUCUACAUACAUUUAUAUACAGAAAUAAUAAAAAAUGUGAUCACUAGGAAAUAAAAUGUAAUUAAUAUUAUAUAUGUUGUUGGACCCGGAUCAGGCUUCAGCUUGGGCUUGUCACUUGGGCCUAUGUCAACAAAGAAAAAAGUGUUUUUAAAUUUUA